GCUCAGGAUGAACGCUAGCUACAGGCUUAACACAUGCAAGUCGAGGGGUAGCAGGGUAGCAAUACCGCUGACGACCGGCGCACGGGUGAGUAACACGUAUCCAACCUUCCCAUAACUCAGGGAUAGCCUUUCGAAAGAAAGAUUAAUACCUGAUAGUACUUAAGAAAGGCAUCUUUUUUAAGUUAAAGAUUUAUUGGUUAUGGAUGGGGAUGCGUUCCAUUAGAUAGUUGGUGAGGUAACGGCUCACCAAGUCUUCGAUGGAUAGGGGUUCUGAGAGGAAGGUCCCCCACAUUGGUACUGAGACACGGACCAAACUCCUACGGGAGGCAGCAGUGAGGAAUAUUGGUCAAUGGGCGAGAGCCUGAAC
This 367-nucleotide ribosomal RNA is filed under the name uncultured Bacteroidales bacterium. Its description in RNAcentral is "bacterial SSU rRNA". It matches the Rfam family "Bacterial small subunit ribosomal RNA", at positions 22 to 388 of the family's 1533-position model. The record is from RNAcentral. Lineage: Bacteria; Pseudomonadati; Bacteroidota; Bacteroidia; Bacteroidales.